This 21-nucleotide non-coding RNA is filed under the name Arabidopsis thaliana (thale cress). Lineage: Eukaryota; Viridiplantae; Streptophyta; Magnoliopsida; Brassicales; Brassicaceae. The record is from RNAcentral.
UAAAAUUGGUCCACGCACAUU